GGACGAACGCUGGCGGCGUGCUUAACACAUGCAAGUCGAGCGGUAAGGCUCCUUCGGGAGUACACGAGCGGCGAACGGGUGAGUAACACGUGAGCAAUCUGCCCUUCACUUCGGGAUAACUCCGGGAAACCGGUGCUAAUACCGGAUACGACCACUUCACGCAUGUGAUGGUGGUGGAAAGUUCAGGCGGUGGAGGAUGAGCUCGCGGCCUAUCAGCUUGUUGGUGGGUAA
This 231-nucleotide ribosomal RNA is filed under the name uncultured bacterium. RNAcentral's name for it is "partial 16S ribosomal RNA". It matches the Rfam family "Bacterial small subunit ribosomal RNA", at positions 27 to 259 of the family's 1533-position model. The record is from RNAcentral.